GGGGAUGUAGCUCAGUGGUAGAGCGC
RNAcentral lists this non-coding RNA (26 nucleotides) under Drosophila melanogaster (fruit fly). The record is from RNAcentral. RNAcentral also lists the same sequence under 6 other names. Lineage: Eukaryota; Metazoa; Arthropoda; Insecta; Diptera; Drosophilidae.